Molecule: non-coding RNA, 21 nt
Filed under: Arabidopsis thaliana (thale cress)
Lineage: Eukaryota; Viridiplantae; Streptophyta; Magnoliopsida; Brassicales; Brassicaceae
Source: RNAcentral
GAGCUGUAAACAUACGGUGGU